GUGCUCACGUCAGCAGCACAUAUACUAAAAUUGGAACGUUACAGAGAAAAUUAGCAUGGCUUCUGUGCAAGGAUGACAUGCAAAUUCAUGAAGCAUUCCAUAUUUUU
Erinaceus europaeus (western European hedgehog) is the source of this 107-nucleotide small nuclear RNA. The record is from Ensembl. Lineage: Eukaryota; Metazoa; Chordata; Mammalia; Eulipotyphla; Erinaceidae.